AUGCAAGUCGAGCGGACAGAUGGGAGCUUGCUCCCUGAUGUUAGCGGCGGACGGGUGAGUAACACGUGGGUAACCUGCCUGUAAGACUGGGAUAACUCCGGGAAACCGGGGCUAAUACCGGAUGGUUGUUUGAACCGCAUGGUUCAAACAUAAAAGGUGGCUUCGGCUACCACUUACAGAUGGACCCGCGGCGCAUUAGCUAGUUGGUGAGGUAACGGCUCACCAAGGCAACGAUGCGUAGCCGACCUGAGAGGGUGAUCGGCCACACUGGGACUGAGACACGGCCCAGACUCCUACGGGAGGCAGCAGUAGGGAAUCUUCCGCAAUGGACGAAAGUCUGACGGAGCAACGCCGCGUGAGUGAUGAAGGUUUUCGGAUCGUAAAGCUCUGUUGUUAGGGAAGAACAAGUACCGUUCGAAUAGGGCGGUACCUUGACGGUACCUAACCAGAAAGCCACGGCUAACUACGUGCCAGCAGCCGCGGUAAUACGUAGGUGGCAAGCGUUGUCCGGGAAUUAUUGGGCGUAAAGGGCUCGCAGGCGGUUUCUUAAGUCUGAUGUGAAAGCCCCCGGCUCAACCGGGGAGGGUCAUUGGAAACUGGGGAACUUGAGUGCAGAAGAGGAGAGUGGAAUUCCACGUGUAGCGGUGAAAUGCGUAGAGAUGUGGAGGAACACCAGUGGCGAAGGCGACUCUCUGGUCUGUAACUGACGCUGAGGAGCGAAAGCGUGGGGAGCGAACAGGAUUAGAUACCCUGGUAGUCCACGCCGUAAACGAUGAGUGCUAAGUGUUAGGGGGUUUCCGCCCCUUAGUGCUGCAGCUAACGCAUUAAGCACUCCGCCUGGGGAGUACGGUCGCAAGACUGAAACUCAAAGGAAUUGACGGGGGCCCGCACAAGCGGUGGAGCAUGUGGUUUAAUUUCGAAGCAACGCGAAGAACCUUACCAGGUCUUGACAUCCUCUGACAAUCCUAGAGAUAGGACGUCCCCUUCGGGGGCAGAGUGACAGGUGGUGCAUGGUUGUCGUCAGCUCGUGUCGUGAGAUGUUGGGUUAAGUCCCGCAACGAGCGCAACCCUUGAUCUUAGUUGCCAGCAUUCAGUUGGGCACUCUAAGGUGACUGCCGGUGACAAACCGGAGGAAGGUGGGGAUGACGUCAAAUCAUCAUGCCCCUUAUGACCUGGGCUACACACGUGCUACAAUGGACAGAACAAAGGGCAGCGAAACCGCGAGGUUAAGCCAAUCCCACAAAUCUGUUCUCAGUUCGGAUCGCAGUCUGCAACUCGACUGCGUGAAGCUGGAAUCGCUAGUAAUCGCGGAUCAGCAUGCCGCGGUGAAUACGUUCCCGGGCCUUGUACACACCGCCCGUCACACCACGAGAGUUUGUAACACCCGAAGUCGGUGAGGUAACCUUUUAGGAGCCAGCCGCCGAAG
RNAcentral lists this ribosomal RNA (1426 nucleotides) under Bacillus subtilis. Its description in RNAcentral is "16S ribosomal RNA". It matches the Rfam family "Bacterial small subunit ribosomal RNA". Lineage: Bacteria; Bacillati; Bacillota; Bacilli; Caryophanales; Bacillaceae. The record is from RNAcentral.